CUCAUUGGGGACAGAGGGGACUCCCCAUCCUCGUGGACAGCUGCUCUAGCAGUGGGAAUAGCUGACCAUUGGAACAAGGAGCUCAGAGACCUCACAAACUCUUCACUGCACACAGCCCUGAAAAGCAGACUGGCUGCUCUUCUGCAAAUGAACCUGAAAUGACCAGUGGUGGCAAGAGAGAGAUGCUCCAUCUUCAGUUCAUGGUGACUUGGUGGUAAGGCCAGGCUUGAUUCCCA
This 236-nucleotide long non-coding RNA is filed under the name Gallus gallus (chicken). Lineage: Eukaryota; Metazoa; Chordata; Aves; Galliformes; Phasianidae. The record is from RNAcentral.